UUGGAGGGCAAGUCUGGUGCCAGCAGCCGCGGUAAUUCCAGCUCCAAUAGCGUAUAUUAAAGUUGUUGCAGUUAAAAAGCUCGUAGUUGAAUUUCGGGAUCGACGGGUCGGUCGCGCCUCUGGUGUGUACUGGCCCUGUCGGUUUCUCCCUUCUGACGAACCACGAUGUCAUUAAUUUGGUGUCGUGGGAAAUCAGGACUGUUACUUUGAAAAAAUUAGAGUGUUUAAAGCAGGCAUUCGCUUGAAUACAUUAGCAUGGAAUAAUGAAAUAGGACGUUUGAUCUUAUUUUGUUGGUUUCUAAGAUCGACGUAAUGAUUAAUAGGGAUAGUUGGGGGCAUUAGUAUUCAAUUGUCAGAGGUGAAAUUCUUGGAUUUAUUGAAGACUAACUACUGCGAAAGCAUUUGCCAAGGAUGUUUUCAUUAAUCAAGAACGAAAGUUAGGGGAUCGAAGACGAUCAGAUACCGUCGUAGUCUUAACCAUAAACUAUGCCGACUAGGGAUCGGAUGAUGUUAAUUUUAAUGACUCAUUCGGCGCCUUACGGGAAAC
This 547-nucleotide ribosomal RNA is filed under the name uncultured Glomus. Its description in RNAcentral is "SSU rRNA". It matches the Rfam family "Eukaryotic small subunit ribosomal RNA", at positions 548 to 1098 of the family's 1831-position model. The record is from RNAcentral. Lineage: Eukaryota; Fungi; Glomeromycota; Glomeromycetes; Glomerales; Glomeraceae.